Molecule: ribosomal RNA, 1420 nt
Filed under: Pediococcus pentosaceus
Lineage: Bacteria; Bacillati; Bacillota; Bacilli; Lactobacillales; Lactobacillaceae
Description: bacterial SSU rRNA
Rfam family: Bacterial small subunit ribosomal RNA
Source: RNAcentral
AUGAACGCUGGCGGCGUGCCUAAUACAUGCAAGUCGAACGAACUUCCGUUAAUUGAUUAUGACGUACUUGUACUGAUUGAGAUUUUAACACGAAGUGAGUGGCGAACGGGUGAGUAACACGUGGGUAACCUGCCCAGAAGUAGGGGAUAACACCUGGAAACAGAUGCUAAUACCGUAUAACAGAGAAAACCGCAUGGUUUUCUUUUAAAAGAUGGCUCUGCUAUCACUUCUGGAUGGACCCGCGGCGUAUUAGCUAGUUGGUGAGGUAAAGGCUCACCAAGGCAGUGAUACGUAGCCGACCUGAGAGGGUAAUCGGCCACAUUGGGACUGAGACACGGCCCAGACUCCUACGGGAGGCAGCAGUAGGGAAUCUUCCACAAUGGACGCAAGUCUGAUGGAGCAACGCCGCGUGAGUGAAGAAGGGUUUCGGCUCGUAAAGCUCUGUUGUUAAAGAAGAACGUGGGUAAGAGUAACUGUUUACCCAGUGACGGUAUUUAACCAGAAAGCCACGGCUAACUACGUGCCAGCAGCCGCGGUAAUACGUAGGUGGCAAGCGUUAUCCGGAUUUAUUGGGCGUAAAGCGAGCGCAGGCGGUCUUUUAAGUCUAAUGUGAAAGCCUUCGGCUCAACCGAAGAAGUGCAUUGGAAACUGGGAGACUUGAGUGCAGAAGAGGACAGUGGAACUCCAUGUGUAGCGGUGAAAUGCGUAGAUAUAUGGAAGAACACCAGUGGCGAAGGCGGCUGUCUGGUCUGCAACUGACGCUGAGGCUCGAAAGCAUGGGUAGCGAACAGGAUUAGAUACCCUGGUAGUCCAUGCCGUAAACGAUGAUUACUAAGUGUUGGAGGGUUUCCGCCCUUCAGUGCUGCAGCUAACGCAUUAAGUAAUCCGCCUGGGGAGUACGACCGCAAGGUUGAAACUCAAAAGAAUUGACGGGGGCCCGCACAAGCGGUGGAGCAUGUGGUUUAAUUCGAAGCUACGCGAAGAACCUUACCAGGUCUUGACAUCUUCUGACAGUCUAAGAGAUUAGAGGUUCCCUUCGGGGACAGAAUGACAGGUGGUGCAUGGUUGUCGUCAGCUCGUGUCGUGAGAUGUUGGGUUAAGUCCCGCAACGAGCGCAACCCUUAUUACUAGUUGCCAGCAUUAAGUUGGGCACUCUAGUGAGACUGCCGGUGACAAACCGGAGGAAGGUGGGGACGACGUCAAAUCAUCAUGCCCCUUAUGACCUGGGCUACACACGUGCUACAAUGGAUGGUACAACGAGUCGCGAGACCGCGAGGUUAAGCUAAUCUCUUAAAACCAUUCUCAGUUCGGACUGUAGGCUGCAACUCGCCUACACGAAGUCGGAAUCGCUAGUAAUCGCGGAUCACCAUGCCGCGGGUGAAUACGUUCCCGGGCCUUGUACACACCGCCCGUCACACCA